This 430-nucleotide ribosomal RNA is filed under the name Escherichia coli. RNAcentral's name for it is "bacterial SSU rRNA". It matches the Rfam family "Bacterial small subunit ribosomal RNA", at positions 1113 to 1533 of the family's 1533-position model. The record is from RNAcentral. Lineage: Bacteria; Pseudomonadati; Pseudomonadota; Gammaproteobacteria; Enterobacterales; Enterobacteriaceae.
UGUUGCCAGCGGUCCGGCCGGGAACUCAAAGGAGACUGCCAGUGAUAAACUGGAGGAAGGUGGGGAUGACGUCAAGUCAUCAUGGCCCUUACGACCAGGGCUACACACGUGCUACAAUGGCGCAUACAAAGAGAAGCGACCUCGCGAGAGCAAGCGGACCUCAUAAAGUGCGUCGUAGUCCGGAUUGGAGUCUGCAACUCGACUCCAUGAAGUCGGAAUCGCUAGUAAUCGUGGAUCAGAAUGCCACGGUGAAUACGUUCCCGGGCCUUGUACACACCGCCCGUCACACCAUGGGAGUGGGUUGCAAAAGAAGUAGGUAGCUUAACCUUCGGGAGGGCGCUUACCACUUUGUGAUUCAUGACUGGGGUGAAGUCGUAACAAGGUAACCGUAGGGGAACCUGCGGUUGGAUCACCUCCUUACCUUAAAGAA